GACGGUCAGUGGGUCCUGGUGGACUCCCUCGGCUGCAAACCGAGUGUCCGGAGCUCCGGUUUUCGGAGUUGGGUUCGAUUCCCAAGGGCCGUCU
This 94-nucleotide transfer RNA is filed under the name Thermaerobacter sp. RNAcentral describes it as "tRNA-OTHER". It matches the Rfam family "Selenocysteine transfer RNA". Lineage: Bacteria; Bacillati; Bacillota; Clostridia; Eubacteriales; Clostridiales Family XVII. Incertae Sedis. The record is from RNAcentral.